GCGCUCGCUUCGGCAGCACAUGUACUAAAAUUGGAACGAUACAGAAAAGAUUAGCAUGGCCCUUGCGCAAGGAUGACACGAAAAUUCGUGAAACAUUCCAUAUUAAA
RNAcentral lists this small nuclear RNA (107 nucleotides) under Myotis brandtii (Brandt's bat). Lineage: Eukaryota; Metazoa; Chordata; Mammalia; Chiroptera; Vespertilionidae. The record is from RNAcentral.